This 468-nucleotide ribosomal RNA is filed under the name uncultured bacterium. RNAcentral's name for it is "partial 16S ribosomal RNA". It matches the Rfam family "Bacterial small subunit ribosomal RNA", at positions 28 to 507 of the family's 1533-position model. The record is from RNAcentral.
GACGAACGCUGGCGGCGUGCUUAACACAUGCAAGUCGAACGGAAAGGCCCUGCUUUUGUGGGGUGCUCGAGUGGCGAACGGGUGAGUAACACGUGAGUAACCUGCCCUUGACUUUGGGAUAACUUCAGGAAACUGGGGCUAAUACCGGAUAGGAGCUCCUGCUGCAUGGUGGGGGUUGGAAAGUUUCGGCGGUUGGGGAUGGACUCGCGGCUUAUCAGCUUGUUGGUGGGGUAGUGGCUUACCAAGGCUUUGACGGGUAGCCGGCCUGAGAGGGUGACCGGCCACAUUGGGACUGAGAUACGGCCCAGACGCCUACGGGAGGCAGCAGUGGGGAAUAUUGCACAAUGGGCGGAAGCCUGAUGCAGCAACGCCGCGUGCGGGAUGACGGCCUUCGGGUUGUAAACCGAUUUCGCCUGUGACGAAGAGUGAGUGACGGUAAUGGGUAAAGAAGCACCGGCUAACUACGUG